This 301-nucleotide ribosomal RNA is filed under the name uncultured bacterium. RNAcentral describes it as "partial 16S ribosomal RNA". It matches the Rfam family "Bacterial small subunit ribosomal RNA", at positions 509 to 807 of the family's 1533-position model. The record is from RNAcentral.
CAGUCGCCGCGGGAAUACGAAGGGGGCUAGCGUUGUUCGGAUUUACUGGGCGUAAAGCGCACGUAGGCGGACUUUUAAGUCAGGGGUGAAAUCCCGGGGCUCAACCCCGGAACUGCCUUUGAUACUGGAAGUCUUGAGUAUGGUAGAGGUGAGUGGAAUUCCGAGUGUAGAGGUGAAAUUCGUAGAUAUUCGGAGGAACACCGGUGGCGAAGGCGGCUCACUGGACCAUUACUGACGCUGAGGUGCGAAAGCGUGGGGAGCAAACAGGAUUAGAUACCCCGGUAGUCCCUGUCUCUUAUAC